GGGAGUGUAGUUUAUUUAGAAUGGUACUUUUGUAAAGUAUUGGUGUAUGUUUACUGUCUUCUUUG
RNAcentral lists this transfer RNA (65 nucleotides) under Diplostomum pseudospathaceum. RNAcentral describes it as "tRNA-Thr". The record is from RNAcentral. Lineage: Eukaryota; Metazoa; Platyhelminthes; Trematoda; Diplostomida; Diplostomidae.